Molecule: ribosomal RNA, 633 nt
Filed under: Leifsonia sp. Ri2Pt_3891
Lineage: Bacteria; Bacillati; Actinomycetota; Actinomycetes; Micrococcales; Microbacteriaceae
Description: bacterial SSU rRNA
Rfam family: Bacterial small subunit ribosomal RNA
Source: RNAcentral
CCUGAUGCAGCAACGCCGCGUGAGGGACGACGGCCUUCGGGUUGUAAACCUCUUUUAGUAGGGAAGAAGCGAAAGUGACGGUACCUGCAGAAAAAGCACCGGCUAACUACGUGCCAGCAGCCGCGGUAAUACGUAGGGUGCAAGCGUUAUCCGGAAUUAUUGGGCGUAAAGAGCUCGUAGGCGGUUUGUCGCGUCUGCUGUGAAAACUGGAGGCUCAACCUCCAGCCUGCAGUGGGUACGGGCAGACUAGAGUGCGGUAGGGGAGAUUGGAAUUCCUGGUGUAGCGGUGGAAUGCGCAGAUAUCAGGAGGAACACCGAUGGCGAAGGCAGAUCUCUGGGCCGUAACUGACGCUGAGGAGCGAAAGCGUGGGGAGCGAACAGGAUUAGAUACCCUGGUAGUCCACGCCGUAAACGUUGGGAACUAGAUGUGGGGGCCAUUCCACGGCUUCCGUGUCGCAGCUAACGCAUUAAGUUCCCCGCCUGGGGAGUACGGCCGCAAGGCUAAAACUCAAAGGAAUUGACGGGGGCCCGCACAAGCGGCGGAGCAUGCGGAUUAAUUCGAUGCAACGCGAAGAACCUUACCAAGGCUUGACAUAUACGAGAACGCUGCAGAAAUGUAGAACUCUUUGGACA